UGGAGCUGCCAUGUGAUCCCAGGAAGACAGGACGCAUUCUGCCUGCAUCCUCAAGAUGAGUCUUAUAAAAUAUAUGGAUUAAUAGUUAUGGUUGAUAAUUAACACUGAGCUAGCAAGUAAGAAAUCCUAGUCAUUGGCCAGCAGCAUUGUAUAUUAUUUUGGGUGCCCAUGUGACGGGAGGGACUCAGGUGGGAUGGUGGAAAGAUUUAUCGUUACAGUGGUGUAUGCCUUCAAUCCCAGCACUUGAAAAGUAGAGGCUGGCAGAGCUCUAAGUUUGAGGCCAACGUGGUCUACAGAGAAAAUUUCAGGACAGCCAAGCUUUGGCAGUGAAGGACAGAAAGCUGGUGAAGAUAUAAUUGAAGGAAGGGCCAUGUUUUAGCUCCAGUAAGUAGCAGAACUUGGCAGCUUCGGCCACACGGUUCCAGCCUUAGAGUUAAGAAUAGAAGAAAGGGUUAUGGAAUUUGCCUCAGACACCAAGGAAAGCUGCUGAGGCCAGGCAUGUGUCAGGAGUGACCCUGUAUAGGGGCCCAGAGAAGCCAUUUUGUGAAGCUGUGAAGUUGAAGCCUGGAUUGCCUUUGGAGAACCCAAGAUGUUGGAGAUGCCAGGGUCCUGGGAUACCUGGCGAGGAGAGCUGCUCACAGGGAGUAGAACCAGCCCAAGAGAAAGAAGUGUGUUGUAGUCAACAAAGCUGAAUGGAGUUGGAAAUCUGAAGAGCACUUUGACAUCAGACAUGGAGAUGCAGAAUUUAGAGUGUGCUUAGCUGGUUUUCAGUCUUGCUUUGGUCCAUUGUUUCCUCAAAUGCUUCCUUCCCUACAUUUUGGAGCGGUAAUGUAUAUCACACAAUUAAAUAUAUUUUGGAAGUGCGUGACCUGCUUUUUGAUUUUGAUUUUACCGGGGAUUACAGUUCAGAGAUUGCUAUGAGUCUCAGAAGAGACAUUAGACUUUGGACUCUGAAACAAGUUUGAGACUGUUAUAGAUUAUGGGGACUUUUGAAGUUGGACUGGAUGUAUUUUUUGCAUUUUGAUAUGACUUCAAGUCUUUGGGGGGGGUCAGGGAGUGGAAUGUGGUGGUUUGAAAAAAAAAUGCGCCCCCUAAAAGGAGUGGCACUUUUAGAAGGUAUGGCUUUGUUGGAGUAGGUAUGGAAUUGUUGGAGGAAGUGUAUCACUUUGGGGGCCAGCUUUGAGGUCUCCUAUGCUCAAGAUACCACCCUGUGUCACAAUCUACUUCCUGCUGCCUUCUGAUCAAGAUGUAGACAGCAUCAUGUUUGCCUGCACACUGCCACGCCCCCUGCCAUGAUGAUAAUGAACUUCUGAGCUGUGACACAGGAACACAGACAUGGAUGGGCCUUACUGAAAUACGAGGCAGAGGAAACAAGGGCAGGGUGUGGUGCUGAGUUGUGGACCCAUUAGGGACCAGCUUUUUAUAACAGGCAGGCCAGCUGCUGGCUCCGCCUCAUUUCCUCCAAGAAGACUGGUGGGCACUGAAGAAACUUCAUCUUGAGUCAAUGGCAACGAUGGCCACUGAACAACCCUGCCCUUCACCUCAACUGCUACAAAGUAUUCCAGACCAUGGACAAGAGGACAGUGGAAUCAACUUUCCCCAUGUUGGGUCAAUGGUCAAAGAGGUACCAAGUUCCAUACAGCCUGGACUUCGAUGGAGCAACCAGAUACCCCAGGACUUGGCAGCAUCCCAGCUUUCUCAGGUCCUCCAAAGAUGGUCAACACCCUCCAUGUUAGCAGGAAGCAGUCUUGAGACUUCGACGCCCUUAUUCCUUAAUCUGCCAUGUCUAACACCCCACCUUUUUAAUAAUAAGUAAAGGUGGGAUUGAAAGGUUCAGGCAUUAUGCUGGCCUGCCCCUGUCACCUGGCAGAAUCCACUCAGGCAGCACCCUGGUCAUCCCAGGGUUCCAUGGGAACUAAGUCUGCACACAGGUAUAGAGGACCCCUUUAAAAGAUAGACCCCUGCCCACUUACACUCUCUUCUCUCUCUGCCUCUCUCUCUGCUUCUUCUCCUCUCUUCUAUUUCUCUCUCACUCACUCUCCAUGAAAUAAUAAACUGGUUAAUGUAU
Molecule: long non-coding RNA, 2068 nt
Filed under: Cricetulus griseus (Chinese hamster)
Lineage: Eukaryota; Metazoa; Chordata; Mammalia; Rodentia; Cricetidae
Description: lncRNA (ENSCGRG00015023032.2)
Source: RNAcentral